Molecule: non-coding RNA, 75 nt
Organism: Myotis davidii
Lineage: Eukaryota; Metazoa; Chordata; Mammalia; Chiroptera; Vespertilionidae
Source: Rfam
GGCAGUUCUCGGGUGACGCACCCCAGAAUCAGGCUCCCUCCUCUCUGGUACCAGGUGUGUCACCUGAGAACCACA